This 1319-nucleotide long non-coding RNA is filed under the name Ornithorhynchus anatinus (platypus). RNAcentral describes it as "lncRNA (ENSOANG00000045535.1)". The record is from RNAcentral. Lineage: Eukaryota; Metazoa; Chordata; Mammalia; Monotremata; Ornithorhynchidae.
AUGUCUGUGGGCCUUUCUUCUCCGAUGGCAGAAGUGCUGUUCAUUCUCACAUUGCUCUUCAGGAAAGGUGAAACUGUAAAGAACAGACAUUCAGAUCCCACUCAUCCUUUUAGAUCCUGCUCUUCCCUCCUAAGUGGUUCAGCUUUCCCAUCCAGUCACCCAUGGGAGCUACCUCUGAGCCGAUGAGAGCGCUCGGCAGUGACCCUGACGGAAGCAACGUCAAUGUUCCGUGCAUAUAUCGAGAUGGCACUAUACCCCUCCCGGGAAUUUGGUAAGCCCUCUUGCUUUCCUCUGUUACCACAAAGAUCUCAUUUAGAGGACUACAGCAGAAAAUAUACCCCCUAGAAGUGAUCCUGCUGACUGACAGGGUACAGCUAAGGCUGGCUUCAGAAGAUGGUGGCAGAAGUAUCCAACCCAAGUUGGCAGUGGUGCCUUGGGGACAGGGGCCGGGGGUGGAUUGCAAUGGCUAAAAAAUGGGGGAACCUCUGUAGGUUUAGAGACUAAUAUAUGAUGUCAUCACUUGACAUAAAUCAAUGACAUCAUAUGAAAAAGGAGGGGACAGGAGGUACUUCUUGCCCCUUUGAUAAAUAAUAAUAAUAAUAAUAAUGUUGGUAUUUGUUAAGCGCUUACUAUGUGCAGAGCACAACAUGGCCUAGUGGAGAGAGCAUGGGCCUGGGAGUCAGAAGGAACCUGGAUUCUAAUCCCGGCUCUACCACUUGUGUGCUGUGUGACCUUGGGCAAGUCACUCCACUUCUUUAUACCUCAGUUCCCUCAUCUGCAAAAUAAGGAUUGGAUACCUAUUAUCCCUCCUAUUUAGACUAAAAAACCCCAUGUGAUAAGCUUGCAUCUACCCCAGCACAUAUUAGAGUGCUUGGCACAGAGUAAGCACUUAACAAAUACCGCAGUUAUUAUUAUUGUAUUUCCCUAUCUCAGAGCCUGGGUCCAGCUGACUCAGUACAACAGCUUCUCCAUCUUUUCAGUCAUUCCAUCAGUCAAAUCAGUGGUAUUUAUUGAAAUUCCUUUCUUGUAUCUAGACUCUACCAAGAGAUGCAUAGUGCUUCAAGAACUAAAGAACUGUUUAAUUCAGGACAAACCCCCAGGAGAGCCUUAAUUACUUCUAACUGGGAUUGAUUUUGCUCUGACAGCAACCCAGCCCUCUGGCCUCAAAAUCCAACAUGGAAUGUGGGGAAUGAUGAGGGCAGGGAGGCGCUUGCCUGGGCCAGGGUAAAUGAUGCUGUGAUCCCAGCCCUGAACAACUUGUAUUCCUAAUGUGUUUGUGCAUGUCUGGGCAUAAAACCUCGGACAUUCUGGAAUAGAAA